GUGCUCGCUCUGGCGACACAUCUAUUAAAAUCAGAACGAUACCAAGAUUAGCCUGGUCCCAUUGCAAGGAUGACACACGAAUUUGUGAAAUGUUCCGUAUUAGA
Small nuclear RNA from Phodopus roborovskii (desert hamster), 104 nucleotides. The record is from RefSeq and is a predicted model, not a curated record. Lineage: Eukaryota; Metazoa; Chordata; Mammalia; Rodentia; Cricetidae.